RNAcentral lists this ribosomal RNA (1147 nucleotides) under uncultured fungus. RNAcentral describes it as "eukaryotic LSU rRNA". The stretch from base 514 to 1147 matches the Rfam family "Eukaryotic large subunit ribosomal RNA", at positions 1 to 649 of the family's 3401-position model. Lineage: Eukaryota; Fungi. The record is from RNAcentral.
AAGUCGUAACAAGGUUUCCGUAGGUGAACCUGCGGAAGGAUCAUUAAAGAAUCGCCCCGUUUUUUGAAAUGGGUUCUAUUCCCAAACCGUGUAUAUAUACCUUUGUUGCUUCGGCAGGCCGCCUUCUAGGCGUCGGCUCCGGCUGACUGCGCCUGCCAGAGGACCCAAACUCAUUUGUUUAGUGAUGUCUGAGUACCAUAUAAUAGUUAAAACUUUCAACAACGGAUCUCUUGGUUCUGGCAUCGAUGAAGAACGCAGCGAAAUGCGAUAAGUAAUGUGAAUUGCAGAAUUCAGUGAAUCAUCGAAUCUUUGAACGCACAUUGCGCCCCUUGGUAUUCCGAGGGGCAUGCCUGUUCGAGCGUCAUUAUAACCACUCAAGCCUCGGCUUGGUCUUGGGGUUCGCGGUCUCGCGGCCCUUAAAAUCAGUGGCGGUGCCGUCUAGCUCUAAGCGUAGUAAUUUUCUCGCUAUAGGGUCCAGGCGACCACCUGCCAGAACCCUCCAUUCUUUACGGUUGACCUCGGAUCAGGUAGGGAUACCCGCUGAACUUAAGCAUAUCAAUAAGCGGAGGAAAAGAAACCAACAGGGAUUGCCUCAGUAACGGCGAGUGAAGCGGCAACAGCUCAAAUUUGAAAUCUGGCUCUUUCAGGGUCCGAGUUGUAAUUUGUAGAAGAUGCUUUGGGUGUGGCUCCGGUCUAAGUUCCUUGGAACAGGACGCCAUAGAGGGUGAGAAUCCCGUACGUGACUGGGUGCCUUCGCUCGUGUAAAGCUCUUUCGACGAGUCGAGUUGUUUGGGAAUGCAGCUCAAAAUGGGUGGUAAAUUUCAUCUAAAGCUAAAUAUUGGCCAGAGACCGAUAGCGCACAAGUAGAGUGAUCGAAAGAUGAAAAGCACUUUGGAAAGAGAGUUAAACAGUACGUGAAAUUGUUGAAAGGGAAGCGCUUGCAACCAGACUUGCGCGCUGUUGAUCAUCCGAGCUUUUGCCCGGUGCACUCAGCAGCGCUCAGGCCAGCAUCGGUUUUGGUGGGCGGAUAAAGGCCUUGGGAAUGUAGCUCUCUUCGGGGAGUGUUAUAGCCCUCGGUGCAAUGCGCCCUACCGGGACCGAGGACCGCGCUUCGGCUAGGAUGCUGGCGUAAUGGUUGUAAGCGACC